ACCGGCGCACGGCGUGAGUAACACGUAUCCAACCUACCCCCCUUUCGGGGAUAGCCUUUCGAAAGAAAGAUUAAUACCCGAUAGUCUAGGAAUAAAGCAUUUUAUUUUUAGUAAAGAAUUUCGGUGCUUGAUGGGGAUGCGUUCCAUUAGAUUGUUGGUGAGGUAACGGCUCACCAAGUCUUCGAUGGAUAGGGGUUCUGAGAGGAAGGUCCCCCACAUUGGAACUGAGACACGGUCCAAACUCCUACGGGAGGCAGCAGUGAGGAAUAUUGGUCAAUGGACGAGAGUCUGAACCAGCCAAGUAGCGUGAAGGACGAAGGCCCUACGGGUCGUAAACUUCUUUUAUAGGGGAAUAAAGUGGAGAACGUGUUCUCCUUUGUAUGUACCCUACGAAUAAGGAUCGGCUAACUCCGUGCCAGCAGCCGCGGUAAUACGGAGGAUCCAAGCGUUAUCCGGAUUUAUUGGGUUUAAAGGGAGCGUAGGUGGACGUAUAAGUCAGUUGUGAAAGUUUGCGGCUCAACCGUAAAAUUGCAGUUGAUACUGUAUGUCUUGAGUGUACAAGAGGUGGGCGGAAUUCGUGGUGUAGCGGUGAAAUGCUUAGAUAUCACGAAGAACUCCGAUUG
Molecule: ribosomal RNA, 623 nt
Filed under: uncultured Bacteroides sp.
Lineage: Bacteria; Pseudomonadati; Bacteroidota; Bacteroidia; Bacteroidales; Bacteroidaceae
Description: bacterial SSU rRNA
Rfam family: Bacterial small subunit ribosomal RNA
Source: RNAcentral